Long non-coding RNA from Chroicocephalus ridibundus (black-headed gull), 921 nucleotides. RefSeq lists it as uncharacterized. The transcript is spliced from 4 exons. The record is from RefSeq and is a predicted model, not a curated record. Lineage: Eukaryota; Metazoa; Chordata; Aves; Charadriiformes; Laridae.
AAAGCGGGGGGGCAGCCCUGAGGUGGGCAGGGCUGCAGGGGAAGAGCAGAGCGCUAGGUUUAAACGAGAGAAGGGAGGGACGGCCAAGGAGGUGGGGGAUGCGCUGCGCUGGGCUGAUGCCCCGAGUAUUUGCUGUCUCUUUAAAAAUCCCAACAGAGCAUAUGAGUUAUCAGAAAAUGGAUGAAUGAGUACCCUCUAGAGGUAGAGUUCAGUUGGGAAAAAUUCCAAGAUACAGAGAAGAGGUAUCAGUGAACAUAAACAAUACUGCUGUGCGGAGAAGAGAGUUGGGAUUACUCAAGGCUCAUGUAAAUACAUACAUUCUGCACUAUCAUCCCAAUGUCAGCCAGACGGGCACAGCUGCAUCCUGGAGAAGUACUUCGAGCAAGCACUGCAAGGCAUGUGAUUCAGCAACUGCAGUUUUCUCACCUGCAGACACACUGGAAUAUAUUGCAUUGAUAAGAUGAGAUGAAUAUGAUCCAGAGGUCUGGGAAUUUUCUACCUAUAUUUUUCUGCUGUGAAGAGCUAGACAUUUCUUGUCGGGGCUUCAGAUACUCUUGGUUAGAGCCCCACGUACAGAGUUGCCUGCCUGCCGCAAUCCUGUUUACAAAGAAGGCGAAUUUUAGGUACAAGGAAAUGGAAAAAAACCCCAAAGUUGAGAAGCCCUAGAAUAUGACUUUGGUGAUGACCCUUGCAAAAACUGGGUUGUUAGACAAAUCUGCACAGGAUGCUGUUCCUCUGGAUAUUCUGGGAAUGAAAUUCAAAAGACCUGUUUAGCAGUGGGUCCAGGGUUGUCCUCACAACAGACGACUUCAAGUAGCUGGAACAUCAGUUCAGGAAAAGCUGGCUUCCGUGACAUCUGUUAUAUGACUGAAACUAUGAAUUUCAUCCAUUACUUCCAACAUCUUGGCUUUGUGUAGAUGG